UGGGUAACCUGCCUUAUAGUGGGGGAGUAGCCUUUCGAAAGGAAGAUUAAUACCGCAUAAGAUUGUAGUAUCGCAUGAUAUAGCAAUUAAAGGAAGCAAUCCGCUAUAAGAUGGACCCGCGUCGCAUUAGCUAGUUGGUGAGGUAAUGGCUCACCAAGGCGACGAUGCGUAGCCGACCUGAGAGGGUGAUCGGCCACAUUGGGACUGAGACACGGCCCAGACUCCUACGGGAGGCAGCAUG
RNAcentral lists this ribosomal RNA (241 nucleotides) under uncultured bacterium. Its description in RNAcentral is "partial 16S ribosomal RNA". It matches the Rfam family "Bacterial small subunit ribosomal RNA", at positions 118 to 353 of the family's 1533-position model. The record is from RNAcentral.